CUGGGUGUAGGUUAGUGGCUAUACCGCCGGUUUUGGAAACCGGAGACCGUGGGUUCGAGUCCCACCACCUAGA
RNAcentral lists this transfer RNA (73 nucleotides) under Richelia sp. RM2_1_2. RNAcentral's name for it is "tRNA-Pro". It matches the Rfam family "tRNA". Rfam says of the family: Transfer RNA (tRNA) molecules are approximately 80 nucleotides in length. Their secondary structure includes four short double-helical elements and three loops (D, anti-codon, and T loops). Lineage: Bacteria; Bacillati; Cyanobacteriota; Cyanophyceae; Nostocales; Nostocaceae. The record is from RNAcentral.